Molecule: RNA transcript, 1979 nt
Organism: Vitis riparia (riverbank grape)
Lineage: Eukaryota; Viridiplantae; Streptophyta; Magnoliopsida; Vitales; Vitaceae
Gene name: alkane hydroxylase MAH1-like
Exons: 2
Source: RefSeq, a predicted model, not a curated record
CAAAAGAUGCAAAAGAUAUGGUGAACAGUGCAAAAGGCUGGAAAAUCCAGCAAAUUUUUUCCCCAUACCUGGUAGUAGUGUUGAUCAAUUCCACAAGCAUUUGCAGCUCUGAUGGCUUCAAUUGGCUACCCUGAAAUCCUCUUGGCAGUCAUUUGCUUUCUCCUCCUUCAUCGACUAAGCAACAGCAACGUGCUUCCCUGGAACUGGCCACUUGUUGGAAUGCUUCCAUGGAUUUUUCGCAACAUUCAGCAGAUUCAGGACAGAUGUACUGAAGUUCUAGAGCAAAGCAGCGGCACUUUCCUACUGAAAGGACCUUGGUUUGCUAACAUGGACAUGCUGAUCACCAGUGAUCCUGCCAAUGUGCAUUAUAUAAUGAGCACUAACUUCUCUAAUUUUCCCAAGGGGCCUGAGUUCUUGAAGAUUUUUGAUGUUUUGGGAGAGGGGAUUUUCAAUUCUGACUCGGAUCUAUGGAGGAAACAAAGAAAACUAGCUCAAGUGUUGAUCAAUGACCGGCAGUUCCAGCAGUUCCUGGUGAAGACUACCCAGAAUAAGGUGGAUGAAGGACUAAUUCCAGUUCUUGAGCAUGUGUCCAAGCAGGGUCUGUUGGUGGACUUGCAAGAUCUGUUCCAGAGGUUUACAUUUGAUACCACCUGCAAAUUGAUCACUGGCUUCGACACCAAAUGUCUCUCCAUUGAAUUCCCAAGAGUCCUAUUCGCAAAGGCCAUGGAUGAUGUUGAAGAAGCCAUAUUUUUCCGGCAUGUUGUACCUGAAAGUCUCUGGAAAUUACAAAGGUGGCUGGGGAUUGGAGUAGAGAAGAAGUUAAGCAAAGGUUGGGAAACCAUAGAUAAUGUUAUAGCUGAAUAUAUAUCAAUGAAACAUGAAGAACUAAGCAAAGGAAUUACCAAAUUGCAAGAAGAUGAAGAGGGCACCGAUCUUUUAACAUCAUACAUGAAUGAAGACAGUACCAUGGAGUUGAAAUCCAAUAAGUUUUUGAGAGACACCAUUGUGAAUUUCCUGCUCGCAGGGCGAGACACUACUAGUGCAGCUCUCACCUGGUUUUUCUGGCUUGUUUCAAAGAAUCCAUUAGUGGAAGCCAAGAUUAGAGAAGAACUCAAAGAAACCAUACCAGAGAAAGAAGAUCAGAAAUGGCAUAUCUUCAGAACAGAAGAGCUAAAUAAACUAGUAUAUCUCCAUGGUGCAUUGUGUGAAACAUUAAGACUCUACCCACCUGUUCCAUUCCAGCACAAAGCCCCUCAUCAAGCAGAUGUCCUACCGAGUGGCCACAGGGUUCAUCCAAAGAUGAAGAUCUUAUUUUCCUUGUAUGCAAUGGGUAGAAUGACAACAAUAUGGGGAAAAGAUUGCUUUGAGCUCAAGCCAGAGAGAUGGAUCACAGAGCAAGGAGGUAUUAAGUAUGAGCCAUCUUACAAGUUCUUUGCAUUCAAUGCUGGUCCAAGGACUUGUCUAGGGAAGGGGGUAGCUUUCACUCAAAUGAAGGCAGUUGCAGCUGCUAUAAUCCAUAAUUACAAUGUUCAACUGGUGCAAGGUCAUCCUGUGGCUCCUAAUGUUUCAAUUAUUCUUCACAUGAAGCAUGAAUUAAUGGUUAGAGUUACCAAGAGAUGGUGAUGAAUUGACAAUACUGCAGGGUGCAUGGUGAGUCUCACCUGAAUGGCUUCAUUUAUCAAACUGGUUCUUAUCUGUAGAAGGCUAGCCACAAGGGACGAUGCAGUAUCAAGAGUUUGAAGAGUGGAGCAGAGUGAAAGGCGAGAGAGGGCCAGAAAGGGUGGUAGUGGAAUAAAGAAAAGAGACCAAUAGAUACUUAAUCAUAUGAUACUUAAUCAUAGAGAAUUGCUAGCACUCCAAAGCAAUGCUUCAAAUACACAUUAAGCAUGCUUUUAUUUUCUUUUCUUUUUUGCUGAAAUGUAUCCUAGGGAACAUGAAGAAUAGUCUCCUUGAAUAGAUUGAAGCAAGGAUUUCUCAAA